UCUGGCGGCAGUAGCGCGGUGGUCCCACCUGACCCCAUGCCGAACUCAGAAGUGAAACGCCGUAGCGCCGAUGGUAGUGUGGGGUCUCCCCAU
Molecule: ribosomal RNA, 93 nt
Filed under: Escherichia coli
Lineage: Bacteria; Pseudomonadati; Pseudomonadota; Gammaproteobacteria; Enterobacterales; Enterobacteriaceae
Source: RNAcentral